This 214-nucleotide long non-coding RNA is filed under the name Manihot esculenta (cassava). RNAcentral describes it as "long non-coding RNA (MESC_LNC001493)". Lineage: Eukaryota; Viridiplantae; Streptophyta; Magnoliopsida; Malpighiales; Euphorbiaceae. The record is from RNAcentral.
AACAUACAUGGAAAAACAUGCAAAGAAAGGCUGGACAGGGCACCUUCGGCGGCACAUUCGGCGGCCGAAUGUUCCCUCCAGAGCCGAAACUCAUGCAUGUUCGGCGGCACCUUCGGCUGCCGAAAGUCUCCUCCAGAGAUGAAAGCCAGGCACUUUCGGUGGCACCUUCGGCUGCCGAAAGUCCUUUCCAGAGCCGAAAGUCCAAAUGUUCGGG